CGGGUGAGUAACGCGUGGGUAACCUGCCUUAUACAGGGGGAUAACAGUCAGAAAUGGCUGCUAAUACCGCAUAAGCGCACAGAGCUGCAUGGCUCAGUGUGAAAAACUCCGGUGGUAUAAGAUGGACCCGCGUUGGAUUAGCUAGUUGGUGGGGUAACGGCCCACCAAGGCGACGAUCCAUAGCCGGCCUGAGAGGGUGAACGGUCACAUUGGGACUGAGACACGGCCCAGACUCCUACGGGAGGCAGCAUG
Molecule: ribosomal RNA, 252 nt
Filed under: uncultured bacterium
Lineage: Bacteria
Description: partial 16S ribosomal RNA
Rfam family: Bacterial small subunit ribosomal RNA
Source: RNAcentral